CCUACGGGUGGCAGCAGUGAGGAAUAUUGGUCAAUGGGCGGAAGCCCGAACCAGCCAAGUAGCGUGCAGGAUGACGGCCCUACGGGUUGUAAACUGCUUUUAUACGGGAAUAACGCGCCUUACGUGUAGGGCUUUGCAUGUACCGUAGGAAUAAGGACCGGCUAAUCCCGUGCCAGCAGCCGAGGUAAUACGGAGGAUGCGAGGGUUUUCGGGUUUUUUUGGGGUUAAAGGGUGGGAGGGCGGGCUGGUAAGUGAGCGGGCAAAGGCCGGGGCUCAACCCCGGCCGGCCGUUGAAACUGGGAGUCUCGAGUUGGAGAGAGGUAUGCGGAAUGCGCGGUGUAGCGGUGAAAUGCAUAGAUAUCGCGAGGAACUCCGAUUGCGAAGGCAGCAUGCCGGCUCCACACUGACGCUGAGGCGCGAAAGCGUGGGUAUCGAACAGGAUUAGAUACCCUUGUAGUC
RNAcentral lists this ribosomal RNA (459 nucleotides) under uncultured bacterium. RNAcentral's name for it is "partial 16S ribosomal RNA". It matches the Rfam family "Bacterial small subunit ribosomal RNA", at positions 338 to 795 of the family's 1533-position model. The record is from RNAcentral.